CUUGGGCCAGGCUGGCCGGUCCGCCUAACCGCGUGCACUGGUCUGGCCGGGCCCUUUCCUCUGGGGAGCCGCAUGCCGUUCGCUCGGCGUGUCGGGGAACCAGGACUUUUACUUUGAAAAAAUUAGAGUGUUCAAAGCAGGCCUUCGCUCGCAUACAUUAGCAUGGAAUAAUGGAAUAGGACGCGCGGUUCUAUUUUGUUGGUUUCUAGCGCCGCCGUAAUGAUUGAUAGGGACAGUCGGGGGCAUCCGUAUUCAGCCGCGAGAGGUGAAAUUCUUAGACCGGCUGAAGACGAACUACUGCGAAAGCAUUUG
This 312-nucleotide unclassified non-coding RNA is filed under the name Hevea brasiliensis (rubber tree). The stretch from base 95 to 312 matches the Rfam family "Eukaryotic small subunit ribosomal RNA", at positions 738 to 957 of the family's 1831-position model. The record is from RNAcentral. Lineage: Eukaryota; Viridiplantae; Streptophyta; Magnoliopsida; Malpighiales; Euphorbiaceae.